UACAGAGGUCGCAAGCGUUGUUCGGAUUCAUUGGGCGUAAAGGGUGCGCAGGUGGCCUGGUAAGUCGGAUGUGAAAUCCCGGGGCUCAACCCCGGAACUGCAUUCGAUACUGCUGAGCUAGAGUACUGGAGAGGAGAUUGGAAUUUACGGUGUAGCAGUGAAAUGCGUAGAUAUCGUAAGGAAGACCAGUGGCGAAGGCGGAUCUCUGGACAGUUACUGACACUGAGGCACGAAGGCCAGGGGAGCAAACGGG
RNAcentral lists this ribosomal RNA (253 nucleotides) under uncultured bacterium. RNAcentral describes it as "partial 16S ribosomal RNA". It matches the Rfam family "Bacterial small subunit ribosomal RNA", at positions 524 to 776 of the family's 1533-position model. The record is from RNAcentral.